Humulus lupulus (European hop) is the source of this 680-nucleotide long non-coding RNA. RefSeq lists it as uncharacterized. The transcript is spliced from 4 exons. NCBI's taxonomy places the organism in Eukaryota, Viridiplantae, Streptophyta, Magnoliopsida, Rosales, Cannabaceae. The record is from RefSeq and is a predicted model, not a curated record.
AUUUCUCUCAAAUCAUCUCUUCUCAAGCUCCAUGUCUCCCCUGUCUUCUUCUCUCACUUCCAUGGGAGACCACGACUACACUCAUGGCGGCGUGCGGUGGCUCACAACGAUGAUGUGCGGUGGUUUCCAUGGAAGCCGAAGAACAUUGACAGAUAGAGCUAGCUCGGUGGUUAGUGCUCUGCCCACUGUUCUUGAGAAUCCAAGCCCACCCAAAUCAUCCUUCAAUGAGGUAGAUUUGAAUGUAAGGUGCCAGCAAUACUGAUAGUUGUAGCUGCCAUUGGAUGAGUUUCCAUAAUUUUUUUAUUUGUUUAUUGCAUUUACAUGAGAAGAAUAAAGGGAUCAUGACGAGGCGACCUUUGGUCUUGCAGCUUGACAAGACAAACGAGGGAGCUCAGAAAUACGCCAAGUUUCUUCACCUUUGCAAUAGGAGAUUCACAGAUUUUGGUAUAUUGAGAUGAUUUCUUUGGAGUAGUUCUUGACAACAUUUGUAGUUGAGGCCUUUAGAAUGGAAGAAUGUAUUUCACUAAUUUUUGUAUACAUUUCUUGUUUUGUAUUUAGUGAUAAAGGAAUCUGAAUUGGGCAUAAAUUAUGUUGUAAUAUGAUUUCUUAAGCCUAGACUAGUAGACUAAAUAUUGUAAUUACAUUUGAGUAAUUAAUAAAAAUUUAUUUAUGUUACCUUA